GGAUAACCUGCCCUUGGGACCGGCAUAACCCCGGGAAACUGGGGAUAAUUCCGGAUACCGCAUAUAUGCUGGAAUGCUUUAUGCGUGAAAUGGAUUCGUCUGCCCAAGGAUGGGUCUGCGGCCUAUCAGGUAGUAGUGGGUGUAAUGUACCUACUAGCCUACAACGGGUACGGGUUGUGAGAGCAAGAGCCCGGAGAUGGAUUCUGAGACAUGAAUCCAGGCCCUACGGGGCGCAGCAGGCGCGAAAACUUUACAAUGCGGGAAACCGUGAUAAGGGGACACCGAGUGCCAGCAUCAUAUGCUGGCUGUCCAGGUGUGUAAAAUACACCUGUUAGCAAGGGCCGGGCAAGACCGGUGCCAGCCGCCGCGGUAACACCGGCGGCCCGAGUGGUGAUCGUGAUUAUUGGGUCUAAAGGGUCCGUAGCCGGUUUGGUCAGUCCUCCGGGAAAUCUGACAGCUCAACUGUUAGGCUUUCGGGGGAUACUGCCAGACUUGGAACCGGGAGAGGUAAGAGGUACUACAGGGGUAGGAGUGAAAUCUUGUAAUCCCUGUGGGACCACCUGUGGCGAAGGCGUCUUACCAGAACGGGUUCGACGGUGAGGGACGAAAGCUGGGGGCACGAACCGGAUUAGAUACCCGGGUAGUCCCAGCCGUAAACGAUGCUCGCUAGGUGUCAGGCAUGGCGCGACCGUGUCUGGUGCCGCAGGGAAGCCGUGAAGCGAGCCACCUGGGAAGUACGGCCGCAAGGCUGAAACUUAAA
Molecule: ribosomal RNA, 760 nt
Filed under: uncultured archaeon
Lineage: Archaea
Description: bacterial SSU rRNA
Rfam family: Archaeal small subunit ribosomal RNA
Source: RNAcentral